GAUGAACGCUAGCGACAGGCUUAACACAUGCAAGUCGAGGGGCAGCGGGGGAGUAGCAAUACUCCCGCCGGCGACCGGCGCACGGGUGAGUAACACGUAUGAAACCUGCCCGUAGCAGGGGGAUAAGCGGAAGAAAUUCCGUCUAAUACCGCGUAACAACCCUUGGAGGCAUCUCCCCGGGGUUUAAAGGAAGCGAUUCCGGCUACGGAUGGUCAUGCGUCGCAUUAGCUAGUUGGCGGGGUAACGGCCCACCAAGGCGACGAUGCGUAGGGGUUCUGAGAGGAAGGUCCCCCACACUGGUACUGAGACACGGACCAG
Molecule: ribosomal RNA, 318 nt
Filed under: uncultured bacterium
Lineage: Bacteria
Description: bacterial SSU rRNA
Rfam family: Bacterial small subunit ribosomal RNA
Source: RNAcentral